RNAcentral lists this ribosomal RNA (253 nucleotides) under uncultured bacterium. RNAcentral's name for it is "partial 16S ribosomal RNA". It matches the Rfam family "Bacterial small subunit ribosomal RNA", at positions 524 to 776 of the family's 1533-position model. The record is from RNAcentral.
UACAGAGGUCCCAAGCGUUGUUCGGAUUCACUGGGCGUAAAGGGCGCGUAGGCGGUCGGGUAAGUCUGACGUGAAAUCUUCAAGCUCAACUUGGAAACUGCGUCCGAUACUAUUCGGCUGGAGGAAUGGAGGGGAGACUGGAAUACUUGGUGUAGCAGUGAAAUGCGUAGAUAUCAAGUGGAACACCAGUGGCGAAGGCGAGUCUCUGGACAUUUCCUGACGCUGAGGCACGAAAGCCAGGGGAGCAAACGGG